This 213-nucleotide unclassified non-coding RNA is filed under the name plant metagenome. Its description in RNAcentral is "partial contains small subunit ribosomal RNA, internal transcribed spacer 1, and 5.8S ribosomal RNA". The record is from RNAcentral.
UCUCCGUAGGUGAACCUGCGGAGGGAUCACUACAGGCUUGCAGAAGCUCUGAAACCACUGUUUAUCUACCUGAAUCUGCUUCGGCGGGCGGCCCCAGGGCGGGGCCGUAGCCGCAAGGCGCCCGCCGAAGACCCCUAAACUCUGUCGUCUUGAGAAUCUCUGAGUAUCAUAUUAAACAGAAAACAACUUUCAACAACGGAUCUCUUGGCUCUG